RNAcentral lists this long non-coding RNA (771 nucleotides) under Marmota monax (woodchuck). The record is from RNAcentral. Lineage: Eukaryota; Metazoa; Chordata; Mammalia; Rodentia; Sciuridae.
CCUGCCUCAGGGCUGGUUCCCCAUGGCGACCCUUCUCUAGGCCAGCUUCCGGUGUCCUUCUGCCCCACCAGGAGCCUGCCCGACCAUGUCCAGGAGUCUGAAAAGCUCACCUGGCAUUUACCCUGUUCCCUGAACUGCUGUGUUUAGACCUUCAGUGAGAGUUGCCUCCCGCCAAGUGCACAGAACACUAUCCACAACCCAGCAGUUCUAGGUGGGUCAGUCGAGGGCUGUUCAUGGUGCACUUUCCAUGUGGGUAGAACACACAGCCUCAUGCUGCCCCAGAGUCAGUCCCAGAGGAAAGGGGAUCCCUGCUCCUGAGUCCUGGCAGCGGAUCCUGUGUAAAAUAUUUCCACUUCAUCAUGGAGCUCUUCUGUGCAGUGCUGCCCCAUUAACGUGUUUCCCUGGUGUCCCCCAAGACCCCGUGGUGCCUCAGGUUGCAAGAUUAGCCCUUCUUCUCUGAGGCAGUUUCAAUGCCCCACAGCAGGACAGCUGGUGCCUUUGUGGGGAGUUCUCUAAUCCAGCCUCCUCGUCUGUCGGGAGAUGCACCCAAGCCUUUGCUGGAGCCCCAGUGGCCCUCCACCAAGGGCUGUCCAGUGGAGACCUGUCCAGCCCAGCACACUGCCACUCAUGCUCUGCCCUGUGUCUCCCAUCACCUCCCUGGUUCUAUUAGAAGUCCCAUGAACAUUGCUGGACGGGUAGGUCCACAUGCCUCCCACUUUCCACUCCAGUGAGAUUCGAUAACUGCCAUGAUAGUCACUCCACGGGAAGCAU